Molecule: ribosomal RNA, 235 nt
Filed under: uncultured bacterium
Lineage: Bacteria
Description: partial 16S ribosomal RNA
Rfam family: Bacterial small subunit ribosomal RNA
Source: RNAcentral
CCUGCCUACGGGGCGCAGCAGUGGGGAAUAUUGCACAAUGGAGGAAACUCUGAUGCAGCGAUGCCGCGUGAGGGAAUAAGGCCCUACGGGUCGUAAACCUCUUUUGCCGGGGAGCAAGGGCGGGGACGUGUCCCGGCCCGGAGAGUACCCGGAGAAAAAGCAUCGGCUAACUCCGUGCCAGCAGCCGCGGUAAUACGGAGGAUGCGAGCGUUAUCCGGAUUUAUUGGGUUUAAAG